UGACAUCGGCGAGGGCGCAGUUGCCCUG
Molecule: small RNA, 28 nt
Filed under: Bombyx mori (domestic silkworm)
Lineage: Eukaryota; Metazoa; Arthropoda; Insecta; Lepidoptera; Bombycidae
Description: ovarian small RNA-31449
Source: RNAcentral